Molecule: ribosomal RNA, 253 nt
Filed under: uncultured bacterium
Lineage: Bacteria
Description: partial 16S ribosomal RNA
Rfam family: Bacterial small subunit ribosomal RNA
Source: RNAcentral
GACAGAGGAGCCAAGCGUUGUCCGGAUUGACUGGGCGUAAAGCGCACGCAGGCGGUCGCGCGCGUGGGGUGUGAAAACUGGCGGCUUAACUGCCAGAGGCCAUCCCAUACGGCGCGACUCGAGCCCUGCAGAGGUCCACGGAAUUGCCGGUGUAGUGGUGAAAUGCGUAGAGAUCGGCAGGAACACCCAGGGGGAAACCAGUGGACUGGGCAGGAGCUGACGCUCAGGUGCGAAAGCGUGGGGAGCGAACAGG